RNAcentral lists this ribosomal RNA (555 nucleotides) under Trechispora sinensis. Its description in RNAcentral is "Trechispora sp. SLL-2022j partial large subunit ribosomal RNA". It matches the Rfam family "Eukaryotic large subunit ribosomal RNA", at positions 333 to 915 of the family's 3401-position model. Lineage: Eukaryota; Fungi; Basidiomycota; Agaricomycetes; Trechisporales; Hydnodontaceae. The record is from RNAcentral.
CCCGAUAGCGACAAGUACCGUGAGGGUAAAGAUGAAAGCACUUUGGAAAGAGAGUAAAACAGUACGUGAAAUGUGAAAGGGAAUCGCUUGAAGUCAGUCGCGUCUGCCGGAACUCAGCUUGCUUCUGCUCGGUGCACUUUCCGGUUCGACGGGCCAGCAUCGGUUUCGGGUGGCGGACACUGGCGUGGGGAAGGUGGCAGCUCCGGCUGUGUUAUAGCCCCGCGUCGCAAACGCCUCCUGGGACCGAGGAAUCCGGCGCAAGCGUGGGAUGCUGGCGUAAUGGCUUUAAACGACCCGUCUUGAAACACGGACCAAGGAGUGCUACACGCUCGCGAGUGUUUGGGUGGAAAACCCGAACGCGCAAUGAAAGUGAAAGUCGAUACCCCUCGCGGGGGCACCGACGCCCGAGCCUGAUGUUUUCGGAAGGCCUUGCGGUAGAGCGAGUGCGUUGCGACCCGAAAGAUGGUGAACUAUUCCUGAGGAGGGCGAAGCCAGAGGAAACUCUGGUGGAGGCUCGUAGCGGUUCUGACGUGCAAAUCGAUCGCAGGACUUGGG